RNAcentral lists this non-coding RNA (114 nucleotides) under Mesomycoplasma hyorhinis. The record is from RNAcentral. Lineage: Bacteria; Bacillati; Mycoplasmatota; Mycoplasmoidales; Metamycoplasmataceae.
UAUCUGAGAUGAUAGUAGUGUUCAUGUUGGAUCUAAUAAAUCCAAGCCUAGACGACAAGUGCCACAGAGACGAAUUUAUUAAAUUAAAGUGAAACGCGGUAAACUCCAUGAGCU